Molecule: ribosomal RNA, 484 nt
Filed under: uncultured bacterium
Lineage: Bacteria
Description: partial 16S ribosomal RNA
Rfam family: Bacterial small subunit ribosomal RNA
Source: RNAcentral
AUUGAACGCUGGCGGCAGGCCUAACACAUGCAAGUCGAGCGGAUGAAGGGAGCUUGCUCCUGGAUUCAGCGGCGGACGGGUGAGUAAUGCCUAGGAAUCUGCCUGGUAGUGGGGGAUAACGUCCGGAAACGGGCGCUAAUACCGCAUACGUCCUGAGGGAGAAAGUGGGGGAUCUUCGGACCUCACGCUAUCAGAUGAGCCUAGGUCGGAUUAGCUAGUUGGUGGGGUAAAGGCCUACCAAGGCGACGAUCCGUAACUGGUCUGAGAGGAUGAUCAGUCACACUGGAACUGAGACACGGUCCAGACUCCUACGGGAGGCAGCAGUGGGGAAUAUUGGACAAUGGGCGAAAGCCUGAUCCAGCCAUGCCGCGUGUGUGAAGAAGGUCUUCGGAUUGUAAAGCGCUUUAAGUUGGGAGGAAGAGCAGUAAGUUAAUACCUUGCUGUUUUGACGUUACCAACAGAAUAAGCACCGGCUAACUUCGUG